Molecule: long non-coding RNA, 2511 nt
Filed under: Sus scrofa (pig)
Lineage: Eukaryota; Metazoa; Chordata; Mammalia; Artiodactyla; Suidae
Description: lncRNA (ENSSSCG00015054555.1)
Source: RNAcentral
CAGAAGAGAAGACUUGGGGUUCAGAGCCGCCCCCCCUCUCCUGCAGUGGAAAUGGACUUCCCUCGGGUCCAGUACAGGACUUCCCACACAGGCGGGUGGGUGAGUGCCCUUGGCGUUGCCCUCAUUGAUCCGGCUGGACACCAGGUGAAGUGUACCAUUGGCAGAAAAACUAGGGUGAAUGAAGCCCAGAGAUGUGCCUGAUGAAAACAAGAAACAGAUAAUCUGGUGAGCAGCUGAGGCACAGACUACCUGGGCUCCCACUUAGAGGCUGAUAUAGGACUGAAGAAGCAGCUGCUCUGUCAAACCUAGAGGUCAUCUUUGCUUGCUGGGAAAAAGAAUCCUUACGAAGAGAAGUUGCUCCCUGGGGGAAGAAGAAGGCAACGAUUGCCACUCAAGAUGACUCUGUGUCCUGGAAGGAUGGCAGCCCUGGGCCACAGGGGGGCUGCCGAGUUGUUGGGCAGAGAUGGCUUGGGUGACCACAGAAGGGAAGAUCCCUUAAAUGGUGUGACUUUCAUGGCCCUUCCGUAAAGCUUUCGCAAACUGGCCAACGCGGUCAUUCUCUGCCGUGCUCUGAUCCUUUUCAAGUUGUUGAAGUCACUCAGCGGAUUAACAGGGCAUUGCCCUGGCUUUCUCAAAGGCACACGCACAGAACCGUUUAAUGCCAUUUUCAAGGGCACAAGGACAGAGAUCUGAGAGCCUUGCCAAUGAACACAGAAUAAAACCAUCACCACCACCAAACAGGAUAACACCUGAUGGGGGAACGCGUGCCUUCCCAUUGCCUCUGUCCUGCACGCUCUCUGCUGAAACUCCCUGCUUUCCAUUCCCACUUACUGGGUCCCGCACCUCAAACACGGAGGAGGGACUGUGGUAAGGAAAGGCCCACAUCACCUCUAACACAAACCCUCUCCCCAUAGGUACAUGCAUGCUCAUCUCAUUGCAUUUCCAGCCUCAACCCUGGUCAAGAGAACAACUCUUUUGUGAUCUUUGAAGUUACCUUGAUUUUUCAAAAAUUUAGGUAGAUCCAGUAAGGGGUGGGGGUAGAAAUUACUUGAUGUAGAAUAGCUGAUAGAUUAUUUGGUCAUAUUUACCAAAUGUCUUACCUGCUCUAUUAUCUGCUUUUUCAGAUGUGUGCUGUUUUUGAUUUUUAAUUGCUCUUAUUUACCAAAUGUCUUAUUCGUUAUAUUAUCUGUUUUCUCAGAUGUGUCCCCCCCCCCGCCUUUUUUUUAUUUCACUGCUAAGAGAGUCUAGCCUAACAAAAUGGGUGACUUGCUUAACAAUCCAAGAAGUGUCAAGCACCCUGUGCAGGUUAAGCUGGCAGAUUCCACGGCAGUGACUGGUAUUUAUAAGUUUUCAUCCCUGCAAUUGAUGAUUUUUAUAAGAACUUAAAGCAUUUGCCUUCAAAAGGAAAUUUUAAGGGCUGACUAUUUGAUAAAGAUCAAAUAUUUUGUUAUAGCAAAUGCUUUCAAAUAUUCAAAAGGACUCUCUCAGUAGUCCUGCCAUCAUCUUCUAAAAUCAAACAAGCAAACAAACACAUCUUUAGAAUCAUCUGUAACUUAAAGUUACAUUAGUGCAUCAAUUUCUGAAAAUACCCAUGUAGACAAAUAUACCUUAAAUGUCUAUGGGAGGAGAUAACAAUGGAAAAUAUUUCCCAAAAGUAUAGAGUCAAUGAUAGAGUGAAUGAAUAUAACAUAUUUUAUAAUAUAUUUGACUUUACAGUUUUGCAUUUUGGCAUUCUUCCCCCCUCCCCACCACUUGUGUGCCGGACAGAAAAAUAUUUUGGCUUUUCUAUUCUCUUCUAAGAAGGUCUGAGCAAUUUUACUUGUGGCCAAAUACAGAAUUAACUAGAAGUCUAUAAUAAUGCAGUUCACUGUACAGAUUGAGAUAUGCUAUGAGACAAAUCAUGUCCAACACAAAAUCAUAACUGCACAAACUACUUAGAGAGAAAGCCUUAAAUAGCAGAGUAUAUGCCUACAUCUAUUUGGUUUCCUCCUGAGGCUUUUACUUUGUUGAUGUGCUAGCCUGUUUGGGCCAACUACAUUAUCAUUUGAGUUUUAAUCACUCAUAAACUAUGUAUUUUUGAUAUAUAUGUGUGAAAAAAUAUAUAUAUAAUGAGUUUAUAGGUUCUUACAGAUCCUUUAGGCACCUUCAUGAGUUCUCACCAUCAGCUGUGUUUGUGUGUGGGUUCAGUUACCAAAGAGUUCAGAUUUCUCUUUCUCAAAGCUACAAAAAACGAAUUGUUCUUUCAGCCACAAUUAUUAAGAAAUAACUUUGGGAGUUCCCAUUGUGGCUCAGCCGUAAUGAACCCUACUAGUAUCCAUGAAGAUGUGCGCUUCAUCCCUGGCCCUGCUCAGUGGGUUAAGGAGCUGGUGUUGCCAUGAGCUGUGGUGCAGGUCGAAGACAUGGCUUGGAUCUGGCAUUGCUGUGGCUGUGGUAUAGGCUGGCAGCUGCAGCUCUGAUUUGACUCCUAGCUGGGAACUUCCAUAUGCCAUGGAUGCAGCCCUAAAAAAAAAA